CGCGUAGGUGGCCUGGUAAGUAGGGGGUGAAAUCUCGAGGCUCAACUUCGAGGCUGCCUCCUAAACUGUCAGGCUUGAGCAGAGUAGAGGCAGGUGGAAUUCCCGGUGUAGCGGUGGAAUGCGUAGAGAUCGGGAAGAACAUCGGUGGCGAAGGCGGCCUGCUGGGCUCUCGCUGACACUGAUGCGCGACAGCGUGGGGAGCAAACA
This 207-nucleotide ribosomal RNA is filed under the name uncultured bacterium. RNAcentral describes it as "partial 16S ribosomal RNA". It matches the Rfam family "Bacterial small subunit ribosomal RNA", at positions 568 to 774 of the family's 1533-position model. The record is from RNAcentral.